UACAGAGGGGGCAAGCGUUGCUCGGAAUUACUGGGCGUAAAGGGCGCGUAGGCGGAAUGGCAAGUCGGUCGUGAAAUCCUUCGGCUCAACCGAAGAACGUCGAUCGAAACUGCCGUUCUUGAGGAUUGCAGAGGAGACUGGAAUUCCCGGUGUAGCGGUGAAAUGUGUAGAGAUCGGGAGGAACACCGAUGGCGAAGGCGGGUCUCUGGGCAAUUCCUGACGCUGAGGCGCGAAAGCGUGGGGAGCAAACGGG
Molecule: ribosomal RNA, 253 nt
Filed under: uncultured bacterium
Lineage: Bacteria
Description: partial 16S ribosomal RNA
Rfam family: Bacterial small subunit ribosomal RNA
Source: RNAcentral